This 22611-nucleotide long non-coding RNA is filed under the name Triticum aestivum (bread wheat). Its description in RNAcentral is "long non-coding RNA (TAES_LNC019481)". Lineage: Eukaryota; Viridiplantae; Streptophyta; Magnoliopsida; Poales; Poaceae. The record is from RNAcentral.
UGCUCUCAGAAGCCACGACAACACGAUUGCCGCCGGAUCGCCUCUGAUCGGGGAGGAGGAGCAAGGACAAGAAUGGAGGAGAUUGCAAACGGUGGUCUCUGAUUCUUUGAUUAAAUUUGUCCAGUUUACUAGCGUUUUACUGUGGAUUAUUAUUCUUUUUGUUGGGGGAGGGGAUAGCAAUGUCACAGACAGAAGAAGUUGGUGCUUUAAUAAUCGUGGUUUAUAGGUGUAAUUUUUUGUCUAGCUGAUGUAAGUGUAUGUGCUUGUGUCUCUGUUGUAUAGACAGCGAGUGAGUAAGUGGUGAACAUUGGGUCUUGAUGUUGUCCUGACGAUGAGAUGGUGGUGUUAGGAUCAGUGGUGUUUUCUAUGAUGAUCAUCAAAUAUGGCAAUGCGGCAAGCGUUCGCUGUCUAAAUUGUACGUACGAUGUUGUACGAGAUUGAAUGAAAAUGAUGAACAAUGGUUACAAGCUUACAGUUGUUUUGGUUGGCGUGGUCUAUAAGCAUGUGUUGUGUUGAUUGCAUUUCGUGAUCUUAUGUGUGAGAGAUCAUGGGAUCGACCUUUUGCUGUGGGGCGUUCACGUUGUACUUGGCUUCUACGCGAUGGCCCUCUGAGCAAUCAUAAUGCAUGCAUCUGCAGAUCUCAAGCCUGACUAGGAAACCUGAUUUGUGAUUACUUAUUGCCAGUUGCAAUUGCUUGGCUUACAGAUCUGUGCUUACCACUUAUGGCAGAGUGAUUCCGGCAAUAAGAAAGUGGUCUUCUUGAAGUGAAUUCUGCAUCAUUUUUAUUGAUUUUCUUUUUGACACCACAUUAGCUAAACGCUAAUGGGUCAGUCGAUUUUGAGAUUCCCAGAAAUUCACCGGAGGAAGGAGAAGGAAGGUGCUCACUGGAGGGCUACCUCAGUAUCUAUCUUAGGGUUUAGGGUGGGGGCGGUGGUCGACGACGGUGGUGUGGGGCUUCGUCGAAGAAAAAACUCGACGUGGGGGGCUAGAGGGAUGGCCGGGGGCGGUGGAAGACCGGUGGUGGGGGUGGUUCCGAGGAGGGCCGGGUGGCGAGGCCCAUGCCGCCGACCGUGGGCGGCGGUGAACCGGUGGCACGUUUGGCGGGUGGAAGAAGACAUAUGGAGGUAGAAGAAGCAAUCUGCAGUGUUUAUUUUCCAUCCAACGGCUGAAAAGCAUCGACUGACCCAAAUUUGUUUUUCAAACGACAGACGUCUGGCCAUUCCGUUUUGACCCCGCAUUCCCAUUGAUUUCAUUUUGCUCUGUUCGGCUGUUCCCCUGUUUCUUCUUGUCCUGAUCAACUGGCCAAGCUGUUUUGGUUCGAACGGCUUUCAACUCGUGUCCGCACCUAUCCAUUUGCCCCCAUUGAUUCUAUUUUGAUAACUGUCUCCUAAAAAACACGGAUUUUGCUGGGAAUCUGCUCCGAGUUGCUCAUUUACAGCUCGAGGUUCAGAUAAGCUUCGCGUAGGAUGGCUGUGCUAGAUGCCCCGAGAAGACGGCAGCGUAAGUGUACAUUAUGCUAAUUGAAACUGUCGCCUCUACGCCUCCAUUUAAUCAACCUUUCUCCGAACCACGGACGGGGUGACGUUGAAGAUGACAAGGGAGUGGCCGUACGUGAUUUAAGCCCUUGGAGCGUACGCCGUUCCGUAGCAGCACGUACAGGAACACAGGCAAAGGCAUCAAAAUCCUCGGCGAUCUCCGGCGGGUGUACACGGCCCUCGCAAAUGUACAGCUCUACGUUGGCGCGAGAACAGUCUCGUGGAUCUGCACGAAAACUGAAAAUAUACGUCGCAGGAUCGGCGCGUACGCGUCAGGGCCGUGAGCCCGUGAGGGGCCGUGCGCCGGCCGCAUUGCCUUCUCGGCGGCGUCGGCAUUGAAGACGGCGCAGAUCGCACCGCCCGUACGGGAGACGUGGUACUGGGAGAGAUGGUGUGUGUGCAACUGGUACCGCGCGAGAUGCGGACGGGACGAGCUAGCGUGACGGGCAUUUACUUACAGUACCCCAUAUGCGUUCUAGUCUCGCCUUUUCCUCUUCUUUUCGUGUGGUCGAGAUGUUUUUAUGCUACGACAACGUGACUGCGCCUUUGCCAAAUGUACCGUCAGUCUCGAUCGAAACUGGAGUAUUUGUUUAGAAUUUUUUUUGAGUAACGAAUAUUUGUUUAGAUAGAAGCUGGCUAAAGUAAACUGUGAUAACAACUCCUGGGUUAACUACUCGAACUUCGCUCAUCGGAGACGAACGCCGUGGGGGCCGUCCGCCGGCCCGCUAGGCCACCGCCGACGUGAACAAAGUGUACAGGGAUGGUGGUUCAGUCGGUGCGUGGUCCCACGUGACAGUGAAACGAGGCACCAAAGGCUUUUUGCUUCGUAGGCACCUGCUGUGCUGCUGGCUGCUGAAGCUGAGCAAAGCAGUGUUCGUGAUCCCGCGCUGCUGCCUUUGUGACCUCUGCCUGAGCUGGUUCCUUUUUCCUUCGUCAUGUCAUGUGUUGGGGCCUCGGGGCGAGCUCUGGGAGCGUGACGCCGACGGCCGGCCGGUCUCUUUCCGUUCAGGUUCGUCUUUGACUGCUCGGCCCGGCCCCUUUUUGGCAUGGAGGGUGGAAUGGAUCGAGAGAAUUUCAGCGUCGUGCCGCAGCUGUCGCCAGAGGAAAAAGCAAAGGUUUGUCGUGGAAGAAGAAGAAGAUCAGGUCGCUUUCUCGUUCUCAUUUUUGUUGUUGUGUAUGAACUCUCGCUCUCAAUCUCACUUUGUAUGUUCUCAUUUUUUUUUCCCGCAAAAAAAAAAAGUAUUUGCAAGGUUGUGUCGCCGCUGAAAGCAAGUCGGCCGAAGGGAUUCAAAUCGAAACUUGGAUCUGAGUAACACUCCGUUGCCAACAGCUAUUGAGCAAAGUAAAAUAAAAUGAGAGAGAAAAAUACUGGGUACAUCAAAUUUUUUUUGUGAAGGGGUACAUCAUUUUUUUAAAGUACUAUAUAAUACUAGAGAAUACCCCACACGUUGUUGCGGGAAAUGGUUGAUAAAAGCAACUCCAACAGGGCGACCGAAACGGACGCGCGCUUUGUCCGCUUUUUGUCCGUUUGGGUCGGCCAGGCGGACGUGCGCGUCCGCAUUUUAAAAUGGGUCGGCUUGACCACCCAACCGGAAGGCCGACCCAAAUGUGUCGGCGUGGAAAAAAAAUAACAAGUUGCACGAAAUAAACAUAAAAACGCCGGCCAAAGUCCACCUAAAUCUAAUAAACAUUAAAUAAAACAUUAAAAAAGUCUGCGCCUGCCUGCUGCCGCCCCGCACGCUGCCCUAGACGUCGUCGGCCUUGCCCUUGCCCUUGCCGUCGACGUUGGCGUCGUCGGUGAGGUCGAUGAAGACCGGAGCAGGGCCAGCCCACCCGAACACCGCCUGGUACACUGCCAGGGCAGCCUCCUCCGGCGUCUGCUGGGGUGGCGGCAUUGCGGCCAGCCGUGCGCGCUCCUCCUCUUCCUCCUCGAGCCGGAGCGCCUCCGCGUCACGUUGGAGCAUGGCCUCGUAGCGCAUCCGCGCCUCGCCGUCGGCCUGCUACUGGCGGAGCCAGUGCUCCUUCCAGCGCUUGAGGUGGGCCGCCUCCUGCUCUGGCGUCGCAGCGAAGUGGACGGGAGGCACGCUCACCCACUCGCGGUACAGGCCCGUCCACGAGUAGGCCUCCUCAGGCCAAGUGGGUGGAGGCGGGUGUAAGUGCAUCUAGUGCCACCCCUAGUUGGUUUUGGAGUAUUGACGACAAACUUGGUAAUGUGUUUGUGAGAAUUGCAGAAUAAUACAGGUAGUAGUCCCUCAUUGAUUCAGUUUUCCUACCAGAGAUGACCCCUAAAAAUGUGUGAAGACAUUGAAGACAAUGCUGGUCUGUGAAGAUAUUCACAACGAAGAUUAUGACUCGAGAAGACAUUCACGUGAAGACUAUGGAGUGCGAAGACAUAGUUGUUUCGUAGUUUUCUUUUCUUCUUUGUUGAGUCAUAGGAACCAUCGCACUGUUAAGUGGGGUCCAAGUGAACAAAGUCAGAGUGACUGAAGUGAUGCUCAACCAAAUUCUAUGUCUUCGAGCGAAGACAAUGAGAGCAAAUCUUAUCCAGAGCUAGAUGAGUCAGCUUUACUUGUAGCCCAAGUCAAGCUACCGCGUGUGUUUGAAAUCUGACCGUUGGACAUGUGUCAGUUCCUUACUGACCCCGGGUCAUUUCGGACAAAUCAGGUUGGGUUGCCUCCUGGCUAUAAAUAUCCCACCCCCUACACCAUGGUGGCUGCUCAGUGUUAGUGCACGGCUUUUGUCGUUUGAGAGCAACCCACCUCCGAAGCAUUUGAGAGAGAGAUCCUUGCGAGGACAAAGCCCAAAACACCCAGAGCCAAAGAGUGUUAGGCAUCACUGAAGUCUUUCUGUCCGCGUGACCUGAAGACUUGUUACACUUGAGGACUGUGAAUCCUUCAGCCGGUUAGGUGUCGCGUUCUGAGCAUCCAAGAGUCAUUAUGGAUUGUCGGUGAACGAAGUCUGUGAAGGUUUGGAAGUCUACCUUGAAGACUUACCAGAGUGAUUGGGCGAGGACUAAUUGUCCUUAGCUCAAGGGGAAUAAGGUGAAGACGCGGUCUUCUGAGUUGAAUCUCAGCCUCCCUAACCAGACGGACAGUUGUCACAGCAACUGGAACUGGUCCAACACAUACUUGUCCUCUCCAAGCAACUGGUUCUAUCUCCUCCCUCUCUUUACUUACAGUUUGUCUUCAUGAAGUCAUUGCCUGCUUGCAUGAUCUGAUCGACUUCGGUGUGUGAAGACUGUUGUUGUUUGGCUUCAUACUAUCUUCCAUCCCGAUCCUUACUACCUAGCUGCUAAUAGUCCUCGUGCUUUCACUUCAUUGCUUACUUGACUAUGGCUUGUCUAGUGUAGUCUACUUUCCGCUGUAUAUCAAUAGGUUCAUUUCUAUUGUUUGUCUUCAAAGCCCCCGUGUUUUGAAGACUUUCAUAAAAAUCGCCUAUUCACCCCCCUCUCUAGUCGACAACUAGCACUUUUAAUUGGUAUCAGAGCAAAGUGCUUCCUUAUUCUUUGUGAUUCGGUUUAACCACUUGGAGUUUUAGCUAUGUCGACUACAGGGAUAAUCAAAGUCUCUGCUGCGUGCCCUGUCUUCGAUGGCACUGAUUAUCCCUACUGGAAGAAUAAGAUGCGUAUGCAUCUUGAAGCCAUUGAUGUCGAUCUCUGGUAUGUCGUCAAGAACGGUGUUCCCAAGGCCAGUGAAGGUGUCACCCCUGCUGAUGUCAAGAGGUUCAUUCAACUGGAUUCUACUGCCAAGAACAUCAUCUGUGGUCAUCUGACCAAAGGACAGUAUGUUCGUGUGAGUGCUCUGGAAACUGCGAAGCUAGUCUGGGACUGGCUCUCCAAGGUCAAUGAAGGCGUCUCAACCCAGAGAGACUCAAGUAUCAGUGUUCUUCGCAACCUCUUCAACCGCUUCAAGAGAAAUGACAAUGAGAAUGUCCAGCUCACAUUUGAUCGCCUCACUGAUAUCACAAAUGAGCUUCAUGCUCUCGGCGCUACUGAGAUCACCAAGCAUGAAAUCGUCAAGACACUCCUGAGAUCACUUGACAGCUCGUUUGACACCCUUGCCCUGAUGAUUCAAGAACACCCGGACUUCAAGACUCUCGAUCCGUCUGACAUACUUGAGAGGCUCAACACACAUGAGUUCCAGUUAUCUGAGAAAAGAGAUAUCUAUGGUCCCAGCUAUGGCCUUACUCGCGCUUUGAAGGCAAAGGUUGUUUCCUCAUCUGAAGAAUCUGACUGCAGUUCUGGGGAUCCUGAAGACAUUGGAAAGGAGCUUGCUAUGCUUGUGAAGAAGUUCCAGAAAUUCACCAAAAAAAGGCUUCAGAAAGUCUUCAAGAUCCAGCUCGAGAAAUGAUGAAGCUUCUACUCAUGACCACAAGAAGAGAACAUGCCACAAGUGCAAGAAACCUGGUCACUAAAUCUCUGAGUGUCCAUAGUGGGACAAUGAGAACAAGAAGAAGAAGAAAAGCAAGGAAUAUGAUUCUGAUGACAAGAAGAAGAAGAAAUCCUCAAAGUCUUCUUCCAAGUCUUCGUCCAAGUCUUCGUCAUACAAGAAGAGCUCAUCUGGCAAGGCUCGUGCUUUUGUUGGCAAGGAGAUGGAUUCAGAGGAGGAGUCUGCUUCUGAGGAGGCAGAGGUGGAGUCUGAGGAGGAGUCCGACUCUGGCGUUGCAAGUCUGGCUCUAGCUACAGCCUACGUUGCCAAGUCCAUCUUCAACACUGAAGACAAUGGCUCCGUCACCAACGCUGAUGCUAAUGACAAGGACGACUCUGCCCCCACCUACUGCUUCAUGGCACGCGGUGCCAAGCUAAACUCACGCGAUGCCUACUUUCAAACAUCAAGUGAAGAUGACUCUGAUUGUGAAUCCAAACCUAGUUACAAAACACUUACUAAAAUUGCAACUGAACAACAGAAAGCUAUGGAACAUAUUCAAAAAUUGCUAGACAAAUGCGAUGACCUGUUGGACGCGGAAAUGACCCUAUCUCAGUCCUUAAUUGAAGAUAUCAAAAAUCUUCAUGUUAAGUACGAGGAACUUGAAAGUCGUCAUGAAAUGCUCUCAACAACUCAUGAAAAGCUUUCCUACGAUUAUCUUCAAAGGAAGCAAAAACUUGAGAAAUUGAGAGCGGCUCAUGAAUAUCUUCAAAAGGAGAACGAGUCACUUCGCGCUCAACAGAUCAGUCCCGCUCAGGAAGGAUUUGAACAACCAUGUCUAAAAUGCCUUGAGCGUGAUAAUGCUACCUCUGUUGCUGAAUGUUCUACUGCUGCUACUGUUGCAAUAUCUUCAACUACUGAUGUGGUAACUAACCCCUCUACUGAGGAUACCACUACUAUUGCUGAUGAGAAUGCCAGGUUGAAGACAUUGCUUGAGACAGGAAUGUACAAAAGUCUCAAAGGGCAUCAGACACUAUGCGAUGUCCUCAAAAAGCAGAUUCUGAACCGAAACCCUAGGAAAGAGGGUGUUGGGUUCGAGAGGAAAAUGAAUGUUGAUGGUUCUUACUGGAAGCCUGAGCAGUACCCCAAAACCACAUGGGUUGCUGAAAAGGGUCCUUCAGUGGAUCCAUCCACCUUAUCUGGCUUCACUUGUGCUAACCCGAUUAUCAUUGAUGAAUCCUUUGAUGCAAACUAUAAACUGUUUAAGAAUCAGACUGGUGAAGUGUUUGCCAGGUAUAUUGGUACUAACUACAGGAAUGGACCACCUUUGAAGAGGAUAUGGGUGCCCAAGAGUUGUCUUGAGAAUCUUCAGGUGAAUGUCAUCAUGACACCACCAGGGAAGAAGACAAACCCCAGACCAAAGGCUUCAUAUGGUCCAAAGGCUUCAUACAGACAGAGGACUCACCAGAGUCACCCUAACGCCAAUGUUUUGUAGGGAAAUCAUACUCAGACUUGUGAAUAUGAGCGUGUUUCUUCAAACCGCUAUGUUCACAAGACCAAGAACUAUUCUGCUUAUUCUUAUGAGUAUUAUUCACCUCCUGCAAGGCUAUUUUCUAGGGCUCCAAAGCUGAAGUUCUCAGAUGCUGCACUUAGACUCAUUGCUUCAAAGCCACCCCUAAAAAUGUGGGUGGUUAAGAAAACUUAACUCUCUUUUGCAGGGAAAGGUCUCCAGCCGGAAAUCAAAGGCGUCUGAUGCUAUUGCUGGGGACCUAAAACAUCUUGUGGGGCGCAAGAUAAAAUGCCCAAAUGGUCUUACUAUGUAUUUCGUUCAUGAGUUCCUUGAUGAUCACCUUGCUUAUCCUAACCAAGAUCUGAACUUCCAUAAUCCACUCGUUCGUCAAAUGUUUAUGCUUCACAAUACCCUUGGUGAAGCCUAUCCCCCUAACUGCACUGUAGGGCAUGACACCAAAGGCUUCAGAAUGGAUUAUGGACAGUGGAUGCACUAACCACAUGCUGGUGAUCGAAGUCUUCUGAUGGAUUCAACACUACGUCCUUCUGACAAGAGUCACAUCACAUUUGCUGACACUGGUAAAAGCAAGGUAUUGGGUCUAGGUAGAGUUGCAAUCUCAAAGGAUCAACACAUGGAUUUGAAUCCCUUGGUUUCAACUUAAUGUCUGUCUCAAUGCUUUGUGAUUUGAACAUGAUUGUGAUAUUUGGAAAAUAUCGUUGCCUUGUUCUAGUGGAAUCUGACAAAUCUCUAGUCUUUGAAGGGUAUCGGAAAGAUGAUCUGUAUAUGGUAGAUUUCUCAGCAGGACCACAGAUGGCCGUAUGUCUUCUAGCAAAAGCUUCAGAAUGCUGGCUCUGGCAUCGGAGGCUAGGGCAUGCUGGCAUGAGGAACUUGUACACACACGCGAAGAAGAAACAUGUCGUAGGCAUCGAGGGCGUCAAGUUCAAGAAGGAUCAUCUGUGUGGUGCCUGCGAAGCUGGAAAGAUGACAAGGGCCAAGCAUCCCUCGAAGACAAUCAUGACGACAUCUCAACCCUUCGAGCUGCUUCACAUGGACUUAUUUGGCCCUACUCACUACUCUACUCUUACUACCACUGCUUGCCUCUAUGGUUUCGUCAUUGUUGAUGACUAUUCAAGAUAUACAUGGGUGCAUAUAAUCCUUUACAAGAAUGAAGUGCAGGAUGUCUUCAGACGAUUUGCCAAUCAUGCCAUGACGAACUAUGGCAUCAAGAUCAAGUACAUCAGAAGUGACAAUGGCACAAAAUUCAAGAACACAUGCCUCGACACUUAUCUUGAUACAUUGGGCAUCACUCAUGAGUUCUCAGCUCCAUACACACCUCAGCAGAAUGGCAUCGUGGAGCACAAGAACAGACCACUCAUUGAGAUGGCUCGGACGAUGCUUGAUGAGUACAAGACUCCAAGGAAGUUCUGGCCUGAAGCCAUUGAUACUGCAUGCCACGUCAUCAACCGUGUUUAUCUUCACAACCUUCUAAAGAAGACAUCCUAUGAGCUCCUAACUGGUAAGAAGCCAAACGUCAGUUACUUCAGAGUAUUUGGUGCUAGGUGCUGGAUCAAGGAUCCACAUCACACUUAAAAAUUUGCACCGAAAGCACAUGAAGGUUUUAUGCUUGGUUACGUAAAGGAUUUGCACUCCUACAGAGUCUUCAACCUCUUUCACUAUAAAGUGGUUGAAACUGUGGAUGUGCGGUUCGAUGAGACUAACAGCUCGCAAAGAGAGCACCUGCCAAAUGUGCUAGAUGAAGUCCCACCUAGUGAAUCCAUCAAGCUUAUGGUACUGGAGAAAUCAUACCUUCAGAGGCACAGGCUGAAGAAGAACUUAUCAUUUAUGCGCCCAAUCAACCUGAAGACAUUGCUCAGCCUGAAGAAAAUGCUGAAGAAGAAGACAAUGGUCAGCAAGGGCAAAAUCUUCGUCCAGUUCAUCCUCGUGUUGCAAAUGAAGUACAGAUUGAGAAGAUAAUUGAUAGCAUCAAUGCACCUGGUCCACUCACUCGUUCGAGAGCAACACAACUAGCAAAUUUCUAUGGGCACUUUGCAUUUGUCUCUAUAUCUGAACCCAAGAAAGUUGUUGAAGCCUUGAUGGAACCUGAAUGGAUUCAAGCUAUGCAAGAAGAGCUUCAACAGUUCGAGCUGAACAAUGUGUGGGAAUUAGUCAAGCGCCCUGACCCUCGCAAGCACAAUAUCAUUGGCACCAAAUGGAUCUAUCGUAACAAACAAGAUGAGCAUGGUCAAGUAGUCAGAAACAAGGAUCGUCUCGUUGCUCAAGGAUACACUCAAGUUGAAGGGAUUGACUUCGAUGAAACAUUUGCUCCGGUGGCUAGGCUUGAAGCCAUUCGCAUACUGCUAGCCUAUGCCAAUCAUCACAACAUCCUUCUGUAUCAAAUGGAUGUGAAGAGUGCCUCUCUCAAUGGCAAGAUUGAAGAAGAAGUGUAUGUUGCACAACCACCUGGCUUUGAAGAUCCAAAACAUCCUGAUAUGGUAUACAAGCUCAACAAGGCACUGUAUGGCCUCAAACAAGCCCCUCGUGCUUGGUAUGACACACUCAAAGACUUCCUGAAGAGCAAAGGCUUCAAACCUGGUUCCCUGGAUCCCACUCUCUUCACAAAGACAUACGAUGGUGAACAGUUUGUGUGCCAGAUCUAUGUGGAUGACAUUAUGUUCGGCUGCACUGACAAAAGAUACAGUGAUGAGUUUGGGCACAUGAUGCAAGAGCAAUAUCAGAUGUCCAUGAUGGGUGAGCUGAAGUUCUUCCUUGGUCUUCAAAUCCAUCAGCAGAGCAACAACAUCUUCAUAUCUCAAGAGAAAUACCUCAAAGAUUGCCUGAGGAAGUUUGGAAUGCAAGACCGCAAAGGUUACACAACGCCAGUGCCAACCAAAAGUCAUCUGGGGCCCGACGACAAUGGUAAAGAGUUCGAUCAAAAGGUAUACCGCUCCAUGAUUGGUUCUUUACUCUAUUUAUGUGCAUCUAGCCCAGAUAUCAUGCUUAGCAUUUGCAUGUGUGCCCGAUUCCAAGCGACACCAAAGGAAUCACAUCACUUAGCUGUGAAGCAAAUUCUUCGAUAUUUGGCUUACACCCCAACACUAGGAUUAUGGUAUCCAAAGGGCUCAGAGUUUGAUCUAGUUGGAUUCUCAGAUGAUGAUUGUGCAAGUCCACAACCGGCACAUGUCAUUUUCUUGGACGAUCUCUUGUCUGUUGGUCUUCAAAGAAGCAGAACUGUAUGUCUCUCUCUAUUCCUGAAUCUGAAUACAUUGCUGCUGGAUCUUGCUGCGCUCAGCUACUGUGGAUGAAGCAAACUCUCAAGGACUAUGGCAUCCACCUGAAGCAAGUGCCACUUUAAUGCGACAAUGAAAGCGCCAUCAAGAUUGCCAACAACCCAGUUCAGCACUCGAAGACAAAGCACAUUGAAAUUCUUCAUCACUUUCUCAGAGAUCAUGUCAUGAAGGAAGAUAUUGAUAUCAUUCACGUCAACACUGAAGAGCAAUUGGCGGAUAUCUUCACAAAGCCCUUGGAUGAGAAAAGGUUUUGCAAGUUGCGGUGUGAGCUAAAUAUCUUAGAAUCCUCGAAUGUCCUGUGAUUGGACACACAUCCUAACGCUUAUGCAUGUUGAUGACUUAGAUGUGCAACACACGAAGUAAAGUAUAUCUUCAAUAAAUGAAGACAUACACUCUAAGUGUGAAUACAUUAACACGGAAUUUGACUUCGGAGCGCCACGAUAAUUGUGCGCCGUGUCUAGGUCUAAUACUUCCUAUAUGGUGGGUAACGCCACCACCAAAUUCUUGUUUGAAGUGUUUCAUUUGGCGUCACAUUUGCAAAGUCUUCGCAUUUGGUUUGUCUUCAACAUUGAUUUGACUUCAAGUUUAUCUUCGCAAUGUUGAUUUGGUCUUAUACUGAUAUAUAUAUACAUACAUACAUACAUAUAUUUGUGUUCUGUCCUCUACAACAUUCACUUAUAGCCAUGUCUUCAUAUUUGAAUCUUUUGAUCUAAGUGAAUGUGAUCGGACCCUAACCCCCUCUAUGCUUCUACCUCAGAUUCUAUCUAUCUAAAUCAUAUGCAUUCUAUUGAAUCUGUCAAUUGUCUUCUCUGAGUCCUUGUCAGCAGAAGACACAGAGACAAAAGUUGAAUUUGUUUUAAUGCUGCAUCCUUAUUGCCUGAAACCCGGAGAAGCCGGAACGACCACCCGACAAUCCAGGCGUGCAUGGGAACAUGGAACAACUUUCAAUGUGUUGCAUGCAUGCCACGUGUCCUUCAAAUAUGAACCGCCAGGGGCACCUGCGUAAUUACGCUGUGCUGUCCCUUUCCUUAUAUAUUCUCAACUCACCGCGGUCAUUAUCUCUUCUCCCACCUCGCCACCUCGCACAAACCCUAGUGCCUUCGCUAGCUCGCGUCGACGCCGGAGACGAAGCGCUUAGCUGCCGCGACUUCUCCGACGCCGUCCUCACGCCGGCCGCGGACCUCGUCCUCUCCGCCGCCGCCGUAGGUGUCUUCCGUCGCCAAGUUAGGGCGCGGAAGAUUGAACUGCUCGCCUCCCUCUUCGCCUCAUCUAGCAGUUCGUCAAGGGUAAUUAAAACUUACUUUUUACUGCCUUUUUGAUCCGUCAGAUCCAUCCACUUCAACCAAAAGUGGUUUCUAAACUUCCAAAUAUGGAUCUAUCUUGUUCUGCAUCUCAUAUCAUGCCAAGUAUAUUCACUUAUGCUUCACAACUAGUUAAAUUCCUCACUUGUACUUAUUCAUGGAUUCGCACAAAUCUGGAACCAACUCUCUUCAAAUAAGUGAAUGUCUUCGCACUAUGAGGUCAAUGUCUUCAAACUGAUUUAUCUUCAAAAUCUUCUAAGAAUGCACAUGACCUCUUCCCCUUCCCUCGCACCUCUAACGCUGUCACAGGUACAUGUCCAUGGGAGAAUCCCUUGGUUCUCAUAGUCUGCAUUCAUUUGCAGAGUCCUUACAGCGACACAUCAACUCUCCUGAAGCCAGUUCCUGUUUGACCAGCAGACGGAAGCCAUUCACAGUCUUGAAGCCUUUCAGCUUGAAUAUAAUGGCCACUGAGAAAUCAGCUAGAAAGGGCGGCAGGCAGCACCGUGGGGAUACAGCCAAGGACUUGCCACCAGAUCUCUUUGAAAUGUACAAGACAGAUCCCGAAGAGAAUUACAAUCAGCACAAGACUCGAAUCCAAUGGAUUCGAAGAUAUUGGGUAGAACAAUGGUUCAAGUAUCGAUUUGUGACUGCUGAAUAUGCUGAAAAGAACGCUAUCAAGCGCCCAUGGGGAGAUAUUCUAUACAAAAAUCUUCAGCCCAAGUCCAAGUCUGAAGCCAUUGCUCAAGGCUUCUACCCUUGCAUGGUCCGAGGACCACAACCAGAGAAUGCCGACCCAUCAUCACUGUUAUGGUGUCGCGACGACAAUCUUUUCAAGCGCAACUACCAGUUUGCCAAAGAUUCUGCUGUGAAGAACAAGAAAGCAUUUGGACUCGACUUCAACCCUGGUCCAUCUGCUCCAAGGGCUGAUGGCACCCGUGAUGCCAAUCCAAACGUCGUCGGCCCCUUCUAUAACCUCGAAGGCCUCAUCACUCACAUAGCAGUUCAGGGGGGCGCCAUGGAGCACUCAGCUGAUGACGCGGAUUCUGAUGAAGCGCCAGCUCCACCUAAGCCGCAAAAGCAGAAGAAAUAAAAGGCUUCAAAGCCCUCUGCCGCACCAAAAGCUUCGCGUGCGAAGCCAUUGGCAACUGCACCUCCUGAACUCAGUGUGCAAUCUGAAGAUCUUUCUCGUGUCUCCAAGAAGACAGAGAAGCCCAAGAAGAAGAAGCCAAUGAAGAUUUUUGGGCAUGAACUGACUCGAUCUGCCGUUCUGCGGAACGAAAAUGAAGCCAUUGAUCUGUCAAGCGACGAAGAUCUUGGUGAUGAUGCUCUUGAGCUACUGAUAAAGAGCAAGCAAGAGGCGGAGAUAUUCAAUGAUCUACCCCUCUUUGAUGUGGAUAUUCUAAACAACUUCAUCGAUGAGUGGUUUGACAACCUGAGCCUCAGCAUUGAUGAUCUCCAGCUGCUAGUUGACAUCAGCGUCACCUUCCAUGGAGCCAUUGCUAAUGAGCUGGCCCUGGCUCAGAAGAUCGUCGAGCUAAAGAACAAAAUUGAUUAUGAAAGGCUCAAUUCAAGAAGAACAUGGCCAAGCUCAGCGUGGCUGAUGUUCAAAGCUUCAAGCAAAUGCUGCAUGACCUCAAGGAAGAGUUUCACAAGAAACGUGAAGAAGCAAAAGGUUCAAGAGAGCGGAUGAAAUACUUUGCAGAUAAAUGUGUUCAAGCACACAAUGAGGUAGAAAAGUGCAAUGCUCUUGGGCAUCCUGGCAUUGACCCCAAGAUGGCUGCCAAACAAAAGAAGAAGCCUGCUGUGGCCCAAGCUGAAGCAUCAAGGCAGGAAGCACCUCACAUUGUCUUCCCUGCCAGCAUGACAGGCUCGAAGCCUAAGGUCCCCUCAACAGCUUCAGAACUGAAGAAGACAAGGGUAGCUGAAGCCGAAGCCAAGAAGCGCAAGCAUAGGAAUACUUCUGAUGAUGCUCCAUCAAAGAAGAAACUGAAAAAGGCUUCAAAGAAAGAGCGUGCUGCGGCCCCUGAGCCUCUUGUUGUCGAGCCCAUUUCUGUUGCUCGUCCUGCCUCCACCAACCAAGAGUGUCAACUUGUGAUCCACGAGCCUGCUUUCACAGAGGCUCCUGACAAUGAAGACGUUCCAGCUGUCGACCCCAUCACAGCUGAAGACAUUGGUCGUGAAGACAAUGUAGAUGAUGAUGAAGUCCUUCCUCAAAUCGAGCACCAACUGGUAUCAUCGCCUGUUCUUACGAACAGCGAACUCAUCAGCAUUGGUCGUCCUUUGACGCCAAUUGCUCAGGAUGAUUCGUGGGCUGAUCGCCCUCAACAAGACACCCCCAUUGAUGAUGAGACACCCAGAACUCCACCACCUCAAACCACCACUCCGGUGCUUGACGAUGACAAUUACAUGGUGCAGACCACUCCAUCACCACAGGCGUCGCCCGCCUUCCACAGGAUUCGCAAAGGCCCUAGUCCAUAGGUCACCAUGUUGAGCAUUCCAGAAGGAGAAGUGCAACAAAGCUCAGUAGCACGUCAAGUGUUUCCUGAAGCCACUCCCACUGCGAAUGUCUCUGAGUCCGAAGCAAAAGCUGCUGAAGACAUUCCGGCUGCAUCAGCCGAUUCCACGAGAAGAAGAAGAAAGAGUUGAAUCAGAGUGAUUGGGCAAGGACUAAGUGUCCUUAGCUCAAGGGUAAUAAGGUGAAGACGCGGUCUUCUGAGUUGAAUCUCAGCCUCCCUAACCAGACGUACAGUUGUCACAGCAACUGGAACUGGUCCAACCAAUACUUGUCCUCUACAAGCAACUGGUUCUAUCUCCUCCCUCUCUUUACUUAGAGUUUGUCUUCGUGAAGUCAUUGCCUGCUUGCAUGAUCUGAUUGACUUCGGUGUGUGAAGACUGUUGUUGUUUGGCUUCAUACUAUCUUCCAUCCUGAUCCUUACUACCUAGUUGCUAAUAGUCUUCGUGCUUUCACUUCAUUGCUUACUUGACGAUGGCUUGUCUAGUGUAUUCUACUUUCCUCUGCAUAUUAAUAGGUUCAUUUCUUUUGUUUGUCUUCAAAGCCCCCGUGUUUUGAAGACUUUCAUAGAAAUCGCCUAUUCACCCCCCUCUAGUCGACAACUAGCACUUUUAGCGGGGAGCGCUUACGCGUCGGCUCCAGGUCCGGCUUGGGCUGGACGGGCGGCGAUGGUGGCGGUGGCGGCACGAAGAGCGGGGUGUGGACGGAGUCCCCCGCCGCCGAUAGGGCAAGGGCUUGCUCCAGCCCAUCCCAAUGCGCGUCCUCCUCGAGGUGGCUAGCCUCCAGCGCGUGCUGCAGGGCCUCCUCGAGGGCGGCUUGGUACUCCGCCUCCGCCUCCAUGUCCUCCGGGUCUACCUACGGGGGCGGCGGUGGGAACGGCGGUGGGACGACGUCGACACCCGAGCGCCGUUGCUCCUCGUGUUCGAGGGCGAACCACGCCUCCCAGUUGGGGGAGUCGGCGGCAUACUCUGGUAGCCGACGCUGCUCCGGCAUGAGCUGCGCGCGGCGCCUGCGCACCUCAUCGUCGUGCGCCCGCUGGCUACGCGGAACCGCCGGCAUCGGGAUCCGCUGCGGAUCCAGAUGCCAAUGGUGCGGCAGCGUGACAUCAGGGUACGGCAGUGGCUGCCUGUACUCCCAGUGCCACCGUGCUUGGUGAACCAGGAUGUGCAGGCGCCGGUGACCAGGGCGGAAAACGCGGCGCCGCCGGAGGAGGAGGGGGAAGGGGAGCAUGGGAGGACGAGGCGCCGGGGUGCCCUUGCCAUUGCUACUGUCGAAGAGGCCCAUGGGUGCGCCAGGNNNNNNNNNNNNNNNNNNNNNNNNNNNNNNNNNNNNNNNNNNNNNNNNNNNNNNNNNNNNNNNNNNNNNNNNNNNNNNNNNNNNNNNNNNNNNNNNNNNNNNNNNNNNNNNNNNNNNNNNNNNNNNNNNNNNNNNNNNNNNNNNNNNNNNNNNNNNNNNNNNNNNNNNNNNNNNNNNNNNNNNNNNNNNNNNNNNNNNNNNNNNNNNNNNNNNNNNNNNNNNNNNNNNNNNNNNNNNNNNNNNNNNNNNNNNNNNNNNNNNNNNNNNNNNNNNNNNNNNNNNNNNNNNNNNNNNNNNNNNNNNNNNNNNNNNNNNNNNNNNNNNNNNNNNNNNNNNNNNNNNNNNNNNNNNNNNNNNNNNNNNNNNNNNNNNNNNNNNNNNNNNNNNNNNNNNNNNNNNNNNNNNNNNNNNNNNNNNNNNNNNNNNNNNNNNNNGACCCCGCCACACGCAUGGUUAAAAAAGGACGCUUCCACUGGCUGACGCGUGGACCCGCUGUCGGUGGUCGUCAUAAAUAAGAGGACCGGUGGCGGUUGGGUGGCCGCCAGGUGGGGACGCGGCGGACAGCGAGGAGACGCGCGGCGCGUCCGCUCCGCGUCCGCGCCGACGCAUUCCAGGCGCAAUUUUGGGCUGGAAAUGGGUCGGCGCGGACGUCAGGCGGACACGAUUUGAGUUUGGGUCGGCGCAUUGGGCCUCCACUUUUGUCCGCGCCGACCCAAACGGACGCGGGCGGACGAAAUGGGUCGCCCCAUUGGAGUUGCUCUAACAUGAGCACCAAAUUAACAAUACAUAUGACCUAUAAUGUUUGAUUACACAUAGUUUUAACAAUAUUUAUUGAAUAUAAGUAUAAUGAUUGAAUGGGAAGUAUUUUUCCAUGCAUGGUUGAAUGUUGUGGUGGUAUUUUCUCAUGCAUGAUUGCAUGUUGAGGCGAGCCUUAUUUCACUCAUAAUUGUAUGAUGAGGUGUAUACUUGCAUGUUCAGAUAAAUAAGUUAGUGAAGAUGAUUCUCUUAGGUAUAUAUAGGGUGUGUGUAAAUAUUCUAGUGUGAAAAAUGCAUUAUCAUAUGGUUAUACUCUGCACACUACAAACUGUGCUAUUUCAGUGCAAAGCUGUGUGCAAGAUUUUUUAUUUUAUUUUCUCUCUUAUUAAAGGAUAAUACCGAUGUCACUAAUUCAUUUUUUGUUAGAAAACUUUAUUUUAUAUAUUUUUUAGUUUUCUUUAUUUCCUUUCUUCUUUAAGAGUAAUAUCAAUUUCACAGAUUCAUUCUUUCCUAGAAAACUUAAAAAAACACUAUUAUAUUCUUAUUCUUGAAUAUUAUAAAAAACAUAUUUAAAUUAUGUGCAAAUUUUGUCAUUUUUUAUUUCUUUUUUCUCAAAGAGAAAUACAAAUGCCUCUGAUCCAUUCUUCAUCACAAAACAUCAUUAUUUUGAUUCUAUUUUCUUCUAUAUUUCCUUUUCUUUCUUCUUUUAAGAGUAAUUUCAGCAUCACGAAUUCAUUCCGUCUUAAAAACUUCUUUUUUUGCGUAAAUUUUACUUUUAUUUGAUUAUUCUUGCAUAUUAUGAAAAGAAUACAAUUUCUAAGUAAAUUAUGUGCAAAUAUUGUCAUUGUUUGUUUCAGUUUUCUUCAUUAGCUUUCUUCUUGAAGAGUAAUACCAAUGCCACUAAUUCAUUCUUCCUUAGAAACUUUAUUGUUUUGAUUUGUUUUAUUUUUUCUUAAAGGUAAUACCAAUGUCAGUAUUCCAUUCUUCAUUACAAAACUUCAUUAAUUUGAUUUUCUUUAGUUAUUAUUUCAUUUUUCUUUCCUUUUUAAGGGUAAUAUAAAUGUCACUGAUUCAUUCCUUCUUAGGAAAGUUACAUUUCGCAAAGAUUACACUAUUAUAUGCCUCUUCCGGCAUAUUACAAGAAGUGCAAUUUCUAUGUAUAUUAUGUGCAAAUUCAUGGGACGGUCCGGGGGAGUUCUAGGUCAUCCAAAGAGUUUGCACAAUCUGGCGUUGUAGUGUUCCAAAAGCUCCGGAGCAAGGGGGCCGAAGUUCCGAGGUCUUCAGGACCCUUCUACAUGGUGUAUUCCAACAUCUGCUGGUCCGCUUUUUCUCCUCCAACUCCUUGCUCCAUGGUGUGCCCCGUCCUCCAUGCUUCUUCAACAACAAUGCCAUUGUACCUAAGCACACAUUGAGCUGCAUUUUGAGAUAGAAGCCAUGCCUCAUCUAAAUGCAUAGAGAACUCAAAGAGGAGAGGUGUCAAAUGCAUUCAAAGAAGGGGGUCAUGGGAUAGACGAAGGAGGCAGUGGUGCAUAUAAAAGCCAAAUCAUAACAUGCACCCAACAUACCCCCACCACUCUCGUUUAUUGGUUAUGGUGAAUGGAUCACAAUUGCUAGGUUGUUGGCUUCAGUUUGCAGUUGGGCUUUCUCUUCCUCUUAGCCCUGAGCAGACCUUCAUCUCCCACAACUUCCAGGUGAGGAGUAGGGAAUGUGACAACACAAUUCCGAUUUCGUGUGAAGCGUGUCAAAUAUUGAGUAAAUGUGCACCCCUCGCAUCGUUGGUGGCAUUGAGUCGGUCAUUUACUUGUUUGCCCUCUUUUGGGAAGGUUACGUGAUUGGCGGCGGCGUCCUGACUCAGAGGUCCCUCAACACGUCGGUUCCCGCCCUGGUGGGUCGAGGCGAGGACCCCUAGGUCGGUUCUGUCCUAGGCCACAUUGGGUGGUCCAUGGAGAAUCCUACGAAGAUUCCGGAAGGCUUGCAUACAAUCAGAAGAUGCCAGAGCAAUGCAGGACUCUACCUGUUGGGGAACGUUGCAUGGAAAACAAAAAAUUUCUACGCACAUGCAAGAUCUAUCCAUGGAGAUGCAUAGCUACGAGAGGGGGGAGCAUCUUCAUACCCUUGAAGAUCGCUAAGCGGAAGUGUUUAUCAACGUGGUUGAUGUAGUCGUACACCUUCAUGAUCCGUCUUGAUCAAGUACCGAAUGUAUGACACCUCCGCGUUCAGCACACGUUCAGUUUGAUGACGUCCUCGCCUUCUCGAUCCAGCAAGAGGGGCAAAGUAGUAGAUGUGUUCUGGCAGCAUGACGGCGUGGUGAUGGUGGUGAUGAAGAACAAUCUCCGCGGGGCUUCACCAAGCACAACGAAAACUAUGACGGAGGAUAAACUAGAGGGGGCGGGGUUGCCGACACAUGGCUUGGUGAAUCUUCAUGUGUUUCGGGUGCUAGCCCUGCCCUCUAUUUGUAUGUUGAGCCCUGGGGUCGUUUCUUGGAGAAAGAGCCUCCUCAAAGUCGGUUUAGCCCGCAAGGCAAGAGUCCUUCUCGGACUCCAGGACUAGACGCCAGGGUCCCUGGCGUCUGGCCCCCUGGCCUCAGCAAAACUCCUUUUGCACCUUCCUGAAGCCUCGUGGGCUUUACCCCUUGGCCCAAAUAAAGUGUUCUCGUACCCGAACAUUUCAGGAAACAUCCGAAACCCCUUCCGGAACCCUUCCGGAGACCAAACACUAUUAUCUCAUAUAUCAAUUUUUACCUCCGAACCAUUCCGGAGCCUCUCGUCAUGUCCGUGAUCUCAUCCGGGACUCCGAACAAAAUUCGGUCACCAACAUACAUAACUCAUAUAAUACUAUAUCAUCAACGAAUGUUAAGCGUGCGGACCCUACGGGUCCGAGAAUGAUGUAGACAUGACCGGGACGCUUCUCCGGUCAAUAACCAAUAGCUGGACCUGGAUUCCCAUAUUGGUUCCUACAUAUUCCACGAAGAUCUUUAUCGGUCGAACCUUUGUGACAACAUACUGAUACGUCUCCAACGUAUCUAUAAGUUUUGAUUGUUCCAUCCUAUUAUAUUAUCCAUCUUGGAUGUUUAUAUGCAUUUAUAUGCUCUUUUAUAUGAUUUUUGGGACUAACCUAUUAACCUAGAGCCUAGUGCCAGUUUUUGUUUUUUCCUUUUUGAGUUUCGCAGAAAAGGUGAAGGAAAUAUGCCCUAGAGGCAAUAAUAAAGUUGUUAUUUAUAUUUCCUUAUAUCAUGAUAAAUGUUUAUUAUUCAUGAUAGAAUUGUAUUAACCGGAAACUUGAUACAUGUGUGAAUACAUAGACAAAACAAAGUGUCCCUAGUAUGCCUCUACUUGACUAGCUCGUUAAUCAAAUAUGGUUAAGUUUCCUGACCAUAGACAUGUAUUGUCGUUUGAUGAACGGGAUCACAUCAUUAGAGAAUGAUGUGAUGGACAAGACCCAUCCGUUAGCUUAGCAUUAUGAACGUAAGUUUUAUUGCUAUUGCUUUCUUCAUGACUUAUACAUGUUCCUCUGACUAUGAGAUUAUGCAACUCCCGAACCGGAGGAACACCUUGUGUGCUAUCAAACGUCACAACGUAACUGGGUGAUUAUAAAGAUGCUCUACAGGUGUCUCCGAAGGUGUUUGUUGAGUUGGCAUAGAUCAAGAUUGGGAUUUGUCACUCCGUGUAUCGGAGAGGUAUCUCUGGGCCCUCUCGGUAAUGCACAUCACUAUAAGCCUUGCAAGCAAUGUGACUAAUGAGUUAGUUGCGGGAUGAUGCAUUACGGAACGAGUAAAGAGACUUGCCGGUAACGAGAUUGAACUAGGUAUGAUGAUACCGACGAUCGAACCUCGGGCAAGUAACAUACCGAUGACAAAGGGAACAACGUAUGUUGUUAUGCAGUUUGACCGAUAAAGAUCUUUGAAGAAUAUGUAGGAGCCAAUAUGAGCAUCCAGGAUCCGCUAUUGGUUAUUGACCGUAGAAGUGUCUCGGUCAUGUCUGCAAAGUUCUCGAACCCGUAGGGUCUGCACGCUUAACGUUCGAUGACGAUUUGUAUUAUGAGUUAUGUGAUUUGAUGAUCGAAGCUUUUUCGGAGUCCUGGAUGAGAUCACGGACAUGACUAGGAGUCUCGAAAUGGUCGAGAGGUAAAGAUUCAUAUAUUGGAAGGUUGCAUUUGGACAUCGGAAUGGUUCCGAGUGGUUCGGGCAUUUUUCCGAAGUACCGGGAGGUUACCGGAACCCCCCGGGAGAAGUUAUGGGCCUCAUGGGCCAUAAGUGGGAAGCACACGAGCCCACAAGGGGCUGGUGUGCCCCCCCUUGGGCAGGAGGCCGAUUAGGACUAGGAGAAGGGGGCCAGUGCUACCUCUGGAGCAUUGCGUUGGUUUUCCCUUGAAGAGGAAAGGGUAAUGCAGUAAAGUAGUGUCAGUAUUUCCCCGAGUUUUUGAGAACCAAGGUAUCAAUCCAGUAGGAGACCACGCUCGAGUCCCAGGCACCUACACAAACAAACAAGAACCUCGCGACCAAUGCGAUAAAGGGGUUGUAAAUCCCUUCACGGUCACUUACGAGAGUGAGAUCUGAUAGAGAUGAUAAGAUAAUAUUUUUGGUAUUUUUAUGGUAAAGAGUAAAGGUAAAGAAAGCAAAAUAAACGGCAAAGGAAAUAGCUAGUUGACGGGAGAUUAAUAUGAUGGAAAACAGACCCGGGGGCCAUAGGUUUCACUAGUGGCUUCUCUCCAGAUAGCAUAAGUAUUAUGGCGGGUAAACAAAUUACUGUCGAGCAAUUGAUAGAAUUGAGCAUAGUUAUGAGAAUAUCUAGGUAUUAUCAUGUAUAUAGGCAUCACGUUCGUGAUAAGUAGACCGACUCCUGCCAGCAUCUACUACUAUUACUCCACACAUCGACCGCUAUCCAGCAUGCAUCUAGAGUAUUAAGUUCAUAAGAACAGAGUAACGCUCUAAGCAAGAUGACAUGAUGUAGAGGGAUAAACUCAUGUAAUAUGAUAUAAACCCCAUUUUUUUAUCCUCGAUGGCAACAAUACAAUACGUGUCGUUUCCCCUACUGUCACUGGGAUCGAGCACCGCAAGAUUGAAUCCAAAGCUAAGCACUUCUCCCACUGCAAGAAAGAUCAAUCUAGUAGGCCAAACCAAACUGAUAAUUCGAAGAGACUUGCAAAGAUAACCAAUCAUACAUAAAAGAAUUCAGAGGAGAUUCAAAUAUUGUUCAUAGAUAAUCUUGAUCAUAAACCCACAAUUCAUCGGAUCUCGACAAACACACCGCAAAAAGAAGAGUUACAUCAAAUAGAUCUCCAAGAGAAUCGAGGAGAACUUUGUAUUGAGAUCCAAAGAGAGAGAAGAAGCCAUCUAGCUAAUAACUAUGGACCCGAAGGUCUGAGGUAAACUACUCACACAUCAUCGUAGAGGCUAUGGUGUUGAUGUAGAAGCCCUCCGUGAGCAAUUCCCCCUCCGGCGGAGCGCCGGAAAAGGCCCCAAGAUGGGAUCUCAUGGGUACAGAAGGUUGCGGCGGUGGAAAUAGGGUUUUUUCUCCUUUGCUAAUGGUUUGGGGGUACGUAGGUAUAUAUAGGAGGAAGAAGUAGGUCGGUGGAGCUACGAGGGGCCCAUGAGGGUGGAGGGCACGCCCCCCUGCCUCGUGGCCUCCUCGGUGAUUUCUUGACGUCCACUCCAAGUCCUCUGGAUCACGUUUGUUCCGAAAAUCUUGUUCCCGAAGGUUUCAUUCCGUUUGGACUCCGUUUGAUAUUUUCCUUUCCUUCGAAACACUGAAAUAGGCAAAAAAAACAGCAAUUUUGGCUGGGCCUCCGGUUAAUAGGUUAGUCCCAAAAAUAAUAUAAAAGUAUAUAAUAAAGCCCAUUAAACAUCCAAAACAGAAUAUAAUAUAGCAUGGAACAAUAAAAAAUUAUAGAUACGUUGGAGACGUAUCAAGCAUCCCCAAGCUUAAUUCCUGCUCGUCCUUGAGUAGGUAAAUGAUAAAAACAGAAUUUUGAUGUGGAAUGCUACUUAGCAUAAUUUUCAAUGUAAUUCUCUUAUUUGUGGUAUGAAUAUUCAGAUCCGAAAGAUUCAAGAU